CGGGUGCACUGAUCCAGCCGGGCCUUUCCCUCUGUGGAACCCCAUGGCCUUCACUGGCUGUGGUGGGGAAACAGGACUUUUACUUUGAAAAAAUUAGAGUGCUCCAGGCAGGCCUAUGCUCGAAUACAUUAGCAUGGAAUAAUAGAAUAGGACGUGUGGUUCUAUUUUGUUGGUUUCUAGGACCGCCGUAAUGAUUAAUAGGGACAGUCGGGGGCAUCAGUAUUCAAUUGUCAGAGGUGAAAUUCUUGGAUCUAUUGAAGACUAACUACUGCGAAAGCAUUUGCCAAGGAUGUUUUCAUUGAUAAGGAACGAAAGUUAGGGGAUCGAAGACGAUCAGAUACCGUCGCAGUCUUAACUAUAAACUAUGCCGACUAGGGAUCGGACGAUGUUAUUCUUUGACGCGUUCGGCACCUUUCGAGAAAUCAAAGUGCUUGGGCUCCAGGGGGAGUAUGGUCGCAAGGCUGAAACUUAAAGAAAUUGACGGAAGGGCACCACCCGGGGUGGAACCUGCGGCUUAAUUUGACUCAACACGGGGAAACUCACCAGGUCCAGACACAGUGAGGAUUGACAGAUUGAGAGCUCUUUCUUGAUUCUGUGGGUGGUGGUGCAUGGCCGUUCUUAGUUGGUGGAGUGAUUUGUCUGCUUAAUUGCGAUAACGAACGAGACCUUAACCUGCUAAAUAGCCCGUACUGCUUUGGCAGUUCGCCGGCUUCUUAGAGGGACUAUCGG
This 729-nucleotide ribosomal RNA is filed under the name uncultured eukaryote. RNAcentral's name for it is "SSU rRNA". It matches the Rfam family "Eukaryotic small subunit ribosomal RNA", at positions 670 to 1426 of the family's 1831-position model. The record is from RNAcentral.